This 397-nucleotide transfer-messenger RNA is filed under the name Candidatus Melainabacteria bacterium GWF2_37_15. It matches the Rfam family "transfer-messenger RNA". Rfam says of the family: Bacterial tmRNA, also known as 10Sa RNA or SsrA, is named for its dual tRNA and mRNA-like properties. Its role is to liberate the mRNA from a stalled ribosome. RNAcentral also lists the same sequence under 1 other name. The record is from RNAcentral. Lineage: Bacteria; Bacillati; Candidatus Melainabacteria.
GGGGACGUUCUGGAUUUGACAGGGCGUACUGGUGGAAGCAAGCCGCGAGCCGGAGCGCUGUUCUCCGUUAUCAACGAGCAAAAAAACAAAUGCAAACACAUUUGAUCUAAGCCACAAAUUUGCAGCAUUAAAUACAGCUGACGCUGUAGCUGCAUAGUGGUAACUGGGUAAUCCCCGCCGGCCGGAUUAUUCGGUCAUUACGCCGGAAUGCUCUCAACGGACGAGGAUAAGUUGAGCUAAGACAAUCCUCAAAGUCCGGCAGGACUUUAAAAAUGCUUGGUUAAAAUUAUGGGUGUGGUAACUGACCUGAUUUUAACGACAUAAAUAGUUACCUACGCUCGUAGAAGUUUGUUUGUGCCCGUCUUGGACGAGGGUUCGAAACCCUCCGUCUCCACCA